Molecule: ribosomal RNA, 254 nt
Filed under: uncultured bacterium
Lineage: Bacteria
Description: partial small subunit ribosomal RNA
Rfam family: Bacterial small subunit ribosomal RNA
Source: RNAcentral
AGGACGAACGCUGGCGGCGUGCUUAACACAUGCAAGUCGAGCGGAAAGGCCCUUCGGGGUACUCGAGCGGCGAACGGGUGAGUAACACGUGAGUAACCUGCCCCUAGCUCUGGGAUAGCUCCGGGAAACCGGGAUUAAAUACCAGAUACGACCACUUUAGACAUCUGUCGUGGUGGAAAGGAUUCCGGCUAGGGAUGGGCUCGCGGCCUAUCAGCUUGUUGGUGGGUAACGCUACCAAGGCGACGACGGUAGCC